RNAcentral lists this ribosomal RNA (504 nucleotides) under uncultured bacterium. RNAcentral describes it as "partial 16S ribosomal RNA". It matches the Rfam family "Bacterial small subunit ribosomal RNA", at positions 30 to 523 of the family's 1533-position model. The record is from RNAcentral.
AUUGAACGCUGGCGGCAUGCCUUACACAUGCAAGUCGAACGGCAGCAUGGAGAGCUUGCUCUCUGAUGGCGAGUGGCGAACGGGUGAGUAAAGCAUCGGAACGUACCCUUCAGUGGGGGAUAACUAUCCGAAAGGAUAGCUAAUACCGCAUAUUCUCUGAGGAGGAAAGCGGGGGAUCGCAAGACCUCGCGCUGAUGGAGCGGCCGAUAUCAGAUUAGCUAGUUGGUGGGGUAAAGGCCUACCAAGGCGACGAUCUGUAGCGGGUCUGAGAGGAUGAUCCGCCACACUGGGACUGAGACACGGCCCAGACUCCUACGGGAGGCAGCAGUGGGGAAUUUUGGACAAUGGGGGCAACCCUGAUCCAGCCAUGCCGCGUGAGUGAAGAAGGCCUUCGGGUUGUAAAGCUCUUUCGGCCGGGAAGAAAUCGCGUGAGUUAAUACCUUGCGUGGAUGACGGUACCGGAAUAAGAAGCACCGGCUAACUACGUGCCAGCAGCCGCGGUAA